This 510-nucleotide ribosomal RNA is filed under the name uncultured Archaeospora. RNAcentral's name for it is "SSU rRNA". It matches the Rfam family "Eukaryotic small subunit ribosomal RNA", at positions 559 to 1075 of the family's 1831-position model. The record is from RNAcentral. Lineage: Eukaryota; Fungi; Glomeromycota; Glomeromycetes; Archaeosporales; Archaeosporaceae.
GUCUGGUGCCAGCAGCCGCGGUAAUUCCAGCUCCAAUAGCGUAUAUUAAAGUUGUUGCAGUUAAAAAGCUCGUAGUUGAAUUUUAGGCCUGGCCGGGCGGUCCGUCUUUGGCGAGUACUGUCUGCGUCGGGUCCACCUUCUGGUGAACCAGUAUGUCCUUUAUUGGGUGUGCCGGGGAGCCAGGACCAUUACCUUGAAAAAAUUAGAGUGUUUAAAGCAGGCAUUUGCUUGAAUAGAUUAGCAUGGAAUAAUAGAAUAGGACGUUGUGGUUCUAUUUUGUUGGUUUCUAGGACCGACGUAAUGAUUAAUAGGGAUAGUUGGGGGCAUUAGUAUUCAAUUGUCAGAGGUGAAAUUCUUGGAUUUAUUGAAGACUAACUACUGCGAAAGCAUUUGCCAAGGAUGUUUUCAUUAAUCAAGAACGAAAGUUAGGGGAUCGAAGACGAUCAGAUACCGUCGUAGUCUUAACCAUAAACUAUGCCGACUAGGGAUCGGACGAUGUAAUUUUAAACC